RNAcentral lists this non-coding RNA (23 nucleotides) under Cricetulus griseus (Chinese hamster). The record is from RNAcentral. Lineage: Eukaryota; Metazoa; Chordata; Mammalia; Rodentia; Cricetidae.
CAGUGAAUGAGGGAACGGAACUG